GUCCAUUCCAGGCCUCUCUGUAGCUCCUGGUGGAUUUCUCAGGGCGGAUUGGUUUGGCCUCCAGCCUCCCACGGUCUCCUCAGUGUUUCUGUGUCCUUGGAGUGAAAGUCGUUCAGUCGUGUCUGACUCUUUGCGAUCCUCUAGACUGCAGCCCGCCAGGCUCCUCUGCCCGUGGCAUUCUCCAGGCAAGAAUGCUGGAGUGCGUAGCCAUUCCAUUAUCCAGGGGAUCUUCUUGACCCAGGGUUCAAACCCAGGUCUCCUGCAUUGCGGGCAGAUUCCUUACCGUCUGAGCCACCAGAGAAGCCCCUAGUCCCACCUUUCUCGUGUUAGGACCCCUGUUGUCAGAUUAAGCACCCACAUAAAUCAAGAUGAACUCAUCUCAAGACCUGAAUUGCACCUGUAGGCAAAUCCCAUCUGUUCUCAAAUAAGCUCAUAAUGGCAGAUUCUAGGGGUUCGGAUGCGGGCAUAUCUUUCUGGGGUCCCCAUUUAACCCCGCUCCAGAGGGCAGGGACUGGAAGGAGCUGUUGCGGGCAUGGUUUACAGGGCUGUGCUGGGGUGAGGGGCCCCACGGGGCAGGAGAGGCGUUCCCGCUCUGUAACUCCAGGGAUAACUCCAUCCGGGCUCCAGGGAUAAUGAGGUGAGUCAGCACCCUGACACCGCGCCGGUCUCCAGACCCGCUGGCCUGGCUGACGAGCAGCUCGGUGAUGAGCAGAUGCGUGAGGGUGGCAGGGAUGGCCCGUGGGUGGCAGGAGGUGAGGAGGAGCUGCCAGGCAGGAAAGGGCAGGUCUGGGAGCGGCUGGUGUGUUCCGGACCUGGAGGGAACCGCCCAGCAAGGCCAGAGCGAGAAGCCGCAGAGCCGGUUCCUCCAAGGUCAGCUUGGGUGAGCGAACCCGGCCGGCGUCUCCCCUGCCCUCCACUCACUGUCCCCUUGGUGGCCGACGGCCUGCAGCCAGGUGGGGCCUCUGGAGGCGGUGUGGUGGUCCCAGUCAGCGCCAGUGUUCCGGGUGGAGACCCCACUUGGACCCCCUGCACUGCUUGGAUUCAGCCCCUUCCUCACUCGGCUGGGCUUAAGACCUCCGCACCCCACCCCAGGAGGCCUGGUUUCUCCGGGCCAAGAGGCAUCUGAAAGGUCUGGGUGGGGAUCAUGGC
This is a long non-coding RNA of Capra hircus (goat), 1149 nucleotides long. The record is from Ensembl. Lineage: Eukaryota; Metazoa; Chordata; Mammalia; Artiodactyla; Bovidae.